Molecule: small RNA, 125 nt
Filed under: Marmota monax (woodchuck)
Lineage: Eukaryota; Metazoa; Chordata; Mammalia; Rodentia; Sciuridae
Source: RNAcentral
GCUGGGCACAGUGGCGCACGCCUGUAAUCCCAGCAUCUUGGGAGGUGGAGGCAGGAGGAUCACAAGUUCAAAGCCAGCCCCAGCAAAACUGAGAUGCUAAACAACUCAGUGAGACCCUGUCUCUA